UGGUUAAGCCGCGAAUGGCUCAUUACAACAGCCAUAGUUUAUUGGAUCUAAGUAUCCUACUUGGAUACCUGUGGUAAUUCUAGAGCUAAUACACGCACCAAAGCCCUGACCUUACGGGAAGGGCGCAUUUAUUAGGACAAAACCAAUUGGCUUCGGCCAUUCUUUGGUGACUCUGAAUAACUACGCUGAUCGCACGGUCUCGCACCGGCGACAUAUCCUUCAAGUGUCUGCCUUAUCAACUGUCGAUGGUAGGUUACAUGCCUACCAUGGUAGUAACGGGUAACGGAGUUUUCGGGAACGACUCCGGAGAGGGAGCCUGAGAAACGGCUACCACAUCCAAGGAAGGCAGCAGGCGCGCAAAUUACCCACUCUCAGCUCGAGGAGGUAGUGACGAAAAAUAACGAGACAGUUCUCUUUGAGGUCUGUCAUCGGAAUGGGUACAAUUUAAACCCUUUAACGAGGAUCAAUUGGAGGGCAAGUCUGGUGCCAGCAGCCGCGGUAAUUCCAGCUCCAAUAGCGUAUAUUAAAGUUGUUGC
This 536-nucleotide ribosomal RNA is filed under the name Prochromadorella sp. 201796789. RNAcentral's name for it is "SSU rRNA". It matches the Rfam family "Eukaryotic small subunit ribosomal RNA", at positions 79 to 616 of the family's 1831-position model. The record is from RNAcentral. Lineage: Eukaryota; Metazoa; Nematoda; Chromadorea; Chromadorida; Chromadoridae.